CCUACGGGCGGCUGCAGUGGGGAAUAUUGCACAAUGGGCGCAAGCCUGAUGCAGCCAUGCCGCGUGUGUGAAGAAGGCCUUCGGGUUGUAAAGCACUUUCAGCGGGGAGGAAGGCGGUGAGGUUAAUAACCUCAUCGAUUGACGUUACCCGCAGAAGAAGCACCGGCUAACUCCGUGCCAGCAGCCGCGGUAAUACGGAGGGUGCAAGCGUUAAUCGGAAUUACUGGGCGUAAAGCGCACGCAGGCGGUCUGUCAAGUCGGAUGUGAAAUCCCCGGGCUCAACCUGGGAACUGCAUUCGAAACUGGCAGGCUAGAGUCUUGUAGAGGGGGGUAGAAUUCCAGGUGUAGCGGUGAAAUGCGUAGAGAUCUGGAGGAAUACCGGUGGCGAAGGCGGCCCCCUGGACAAAGACUGACGCUCAGGUGCGAAAGCGUGGGGAGCAAACAGGAUUAGAACCCUGGUAGUC
RNAcentral lists this ribosomal RNA (464 nucleotides) under uncultured Klebsiella sp. Its description in RNAcentral is "bacterial SSU rRNA". It matches the Rfam family "Bacterial small subunit ribosomal RNA", at positions 338 to 795 of the family's 1533-position model. The record is from RNAcentral. Lineage: Bacteria; Pseudomonadati; Pseudomonadota; Gammaproteobacteria; Enterobacterales; Enterobacteriaceae.